This 366-nucleotide RNase P RNA is filed under the name uncultured Muribaculum sp. RNAcentral describes it as "Bacterial RNase P class A". It matches the Rfam family "Bacterial RNase P class A". From Rfam's summary of the family: Ribonuclease P (RNase P) is a ubiquitous endoribonuclease, found in archaea, bacteria and eukarya as well as chloroplasts and mitochondria. Its best characterised activity is the generation of mature 5'-ends of tRNAs by cleaving the 5'-leader elements of precursor-tRNAs. Cellular RNase Ps are ribonucleoproteins. Lineage: Bacteria; Pseudomonadati; Bacteroidota; Bacteroidia; Bacteroidales; Muribaculaceae. The record is from RNAcentral.
AGCAAGACGGUCGGUCGCUUGCCGACUUCGAGAGCGGCAAGAGGAAAGUCCGGGCAAUACAGGGCGCCAUGGUUGUUAACGGCAACCUGUCAGUGAUGGCAGAGUAGCGUGACAGAAAAUAACCGCCGUCAUUCGUGGCGGUAAGGGUGAAAAGGCGGGGUAAGAGCCCACCGGGUCCCACAGCGAUAUGGGAUGCCGCACGCCUCAUGGAUUGCAAGGUCAAGUAUACCGGCAUUUAAGGGUUGCCCGCCCAUUGCCGGGGGGUAGACUGCUCAAGCCCGGUGGCGACAUCGGGAUUAGAUAAAUGACCGACCGCGGCGGCAAUUGCUGCCGUCGCGACAUAACCCGGCUUACAGUCAUGCUCGA